GCCCCUGUGGCGCAGUGGUAGCGCGCUUAUCUGUGACACCAGAGGUCCCAGGUUCGAAUCCUGGCAAAGGCA
Non-coding RNA from Amyelois transitella, 72 nucleotides. The record is from the annotation of a RefSeq genome assembly. Lineage: Eukaryota; Metazoa; Arthropoda; Insecta; Lepidoptera; Pyralidae.